UAAUAUUAUGUGUGCAUAUACUACAAUUGAAAUGAUACAUAGAAGAUUAGCAUGACUUCUGUUCAAGUAUGACACCCAAAUUUGUGAAGCAUUAAAAUAAUAA
This is a small nuclear RNA of Phyllostomus hastatus (greater spear-nosed bat), 103 nucleotides long. The record is from RefSeq and is a predicted model, not a curated record. Lineage: Eukaryota; Metazoa; Chordata; Mammalia; Chiroptera; Phyllostomidae.